UCCCUGGUGGUCCAGUAGCUAAGGCUUCAUGCUUGCAAUGCAGGGAUCUAGGUUCAAUUCCUGGUCAGGGAA
Molecule: transfer RNA, 72 nt
Filed under: Capra hircus (goat)
Lineage: Eukaryota; Metazoa; Chordata; Mammalia; Artiodactyla; Bovidae
Also listed under: 1 other name
Rfam family: tRNA
About the family: Transfer RNA (tRNA) molecules are approximately 80 nucleotides in length. Their secondary structure includes four short double-helical elements and three loops (D, anti-codon, and T loops).
Source: Rfam by way of RNAcentral